This 253-nucleotide long non-coding RNA is filed under the name Lathyrus oleraceus (garden pea). RNAcentral's name for it is "Pisum sativum (pea) long non-coding RNA (PSAT_LNC008832)". The record is from RNAcentral. Lineage: Eukaryota; Viridiplantae; Streptophyta; Magnoliopsida; Fabales; Fabaceae.
AAUGCCUCAAAUAAAGAUAGCCACAUCCAAGCUUAGCAACUCUAGGAUCUUCUUCAAAUUUGCCCAUGUAGCAGAUGAAUUCCACAAUGCAUAAAUCCUAGGUUUAAAAUAACAACUUCACAAUGAUCAUGUUGCAGAUGAACUCAAAUGGAUCUUCAAUGAUGUAUCAGAUGAAGUUUCAAAUUACAAGCACUUGGUUACAUGAAAGUUGGCAUUGGCCAAGUCCUUUGCAUAGGGAAUGUUGCCUAAAUUC